Onthophagus taurus is the source of this 135-nucleotide non-coding RNA. The record is from RefSeq and is a predicted model, not a curated record. Lineage: Eukaryota; Metazoa; Arthropoda; Insecta; Coleoptera; Scarabaeidae.
CGGCUCCAUAAAAAAAACUAUAUCUCCCCUACCUCUCCGUUUAAUUUCAAUGAAGAUAAGAGAAACAAUCACAGAAGUGUAGGACGUUUUAAGUUUUCAUUUAUGGCAACAGUUUCUGCAAUUAUUAUUAUUUUG